This 619-nucleotide ribosomal RNA is filed under the name uncultured fungus. RNAcentral describes it as "eukaryotic LSU rRNA". It matches the Rfam family "Eukaryotic large subunit ribosomal RNA", at positions 24 to 664 of the family's 3401-position model. The record is from RNAcentral. Lineage: Eukaryota; Fungi.
CCCGCUGAACUUAAGCAUAUCAAUAAGCGGAGGAAAAGAAACCAACAGGGAUUGCCCCAGUAACGGCGAGUGAAGCGGCAACAGCUCAAAUUUGAAAUCUGGCCCCCAGGGUCCGAGUUGUAAUUUGCAGAGGAUGCUUUUGGCGAGGUGCCUUCCGAGUUCCCUGGAACGGGACGCCAUAGAGGGUGAGAGCCCCGUCUGGUUGGACACCGAGCCUCUGUAAAGCUCCUUCGACGAGUCGAGUAGUUUGGGAAUGCUGCUCUAAAUGGGAGGUAUAUGUCUUCUAAAGCUAAAUAUUGGUCAGAGACCGAUAGCGCACAAGUAGAGUGAUCGAAAGAUGAAAAGCACUUUGAAAAGAGGGUUAAAUAGUACGUGAAAUUGUUGAAAGGGAAGCGCUCAUGACCAGACUUGGGCCCGGUGAAUCAUCCAGCGUUCUCGCUGGUGCACUUUGCCGGGCUCAGGCCAGCAUCAGUUUGCUCCGGGGGGUAAAGGCUUUGGGAAUGUGGCUCCUCCGGGAGUGUUAUAGCCCAUUGCACAAUACCCUGGGGCGGACUGAGGUUCGCGCAUUUAUGCAAGGAUGCUGGCGUAAUGGUCAUCAGCGACCCGUCUUGAAACACGG